RNAcentral lists this ribosomal RNA (491 nucleotides) under uncultured bacterium. RNAcentral's name for it is "partial 16S ribosomal RNA". It matches the Rfam family "Bacterial small subunit ribosomal RNA", at positions 29 to 507 of the family's 1533-position model. The record is from RNAcentral.
GUGCACGCUGGCGGUAGGCCUAACACAUGCAAGUCGCACGGCAGCACAGUAAGAGCUUGCUCUUACGGGUGGCGAGUGGCGGACGGGUGAAGAAUACAUCGGAAUCUACUUUUUCGUGGGGGAUAACGUAGGGAAACUUACGCUAAUACCGCAUACGACCUACGGGUGAAAGCAGGGGAUCUUCGGACCUUGCGCGAUUGAAUGAGCCGAUGUCGGAUUAGCUAGUUGGCGGGGUAAAGGCCCACCAAGGCGACGAUCCGUAGCUGGUCUGAGAGGAUGAUCAGCCACACUGGAACUGAGACACGGUCCAGACUCCUACGGGAGGCAGCAGUGGGGAAUAUUGGACAAUGGGCGCAAGCCUGAUCCAGCCAUACCGCGUGGGUGAAGAAGGCCUUCGGGUUGUAAAGCCCUUUUGUUGGGAAAGAAAAGCAGCAGGUUAAUACCCCGCUGUUCUGACGGUACCCAAAGAAUAAGCACCGGCUAACUUCGUG